Molecule: ribosomal RNA, 491 nt
Filed under: uncultured Glomus
Lineage: Eukaryota; Fungi; Glomeromycota; Glomeromycetes; Glomerales; Glomeraceae
Description: SSU rRNA
Rfam family: Eukaryotic small subunit ribosomal RNA
Source: RNAcentral
AGCAGCCGCGGUAAUUCCAGCUCCAAUAGCGUAUAUUAAAGUUGUUGCAGUUAAAAAGCUCGUAGUUGAAUUUCGGGAUCAAUAUGUCGGUCGUGCCUUCGGUACGUACUGGUAUCAUUGGUCUCUCCUUUCUGACGAACCAUGAUGUCAUUAAUUUGGUGUUAUGGGGAGUUAGGACUGUUACUUUGAAAAAAUUAGAGUGUUUAAAGCAGGCUUUAGCUUGAAUACAUUAGCAUGGAAUAAUGAAAUAGGACGUUCGAACCUAUUUUGUUGGUUUCUAGGAUCAACGUAAUGAUUAAUAGGGAUAGUUGGGGGCAUUAGUAUUCAAUUGUCAGAGGUGAAAUUCUUGGAUUUAUUGAAGACUAACUACUGCGAAAGCAUUUGCCAAGGAUGUUUUCAUUAAUCAAGAACGAAAGUUAGGGGAUCGAAGACGAUCAGAUACCGUCGUAGUCUUAACCAUAAACUAUGCCGACUAGGGAUCGGAUGAUGUU